This is a long non-coding RNA of Solenopsis invicta (red fire ant), 886 nucleotides long. RefSeq lists it as uncharacterized. The record is from RefSeq and is a predicted model, not a curated record. Lineage: Eukaryota; Metazoa; Arthropoda; Insecta; Hymenoptera; Formicidae. The transcript has 3 exons.
GUCUUUGCCGCACUUACGGACUCACUCUGAGAGAAUCAGAAUAAAGAGAGCCCCAAAAUUGUUCCGCGGGGCGCGUAUUUAUGAGUGCGCGAAAAGCGUUAGAGGGGCACGCCGUUCCCCACCGUGCGAUCGUAGGGGAAGCAGCAAGCUCCUCCUUUUCUUUAAGUGAAUCCGUGAGCACAGUUCUUUGUUCUUUAAUAUACAUUUUAAAAUAAACGCAAUUGUUUAAACAAUAUGAUUUUCAGCUUAAAAUAACGAGAACAAUAAGUUGUAUCGUCGGCUUCCACCUGCAACGUUCUGUCCGUGGCGAUGUACUAAAUUGAACUGAGAGAAUUUGUUUAUAUUACUUUAUCAUUCGCGUGACGUAUUUGUCACUGAGGCCGCAUCACCUAUGCUUCAAGAGGAUGCUCUAUGGAUCUGUUACUUGAGCUCGCAAGCCGUCGCUGAGAAGAUACGACUAUGAAGAUUCCUCGCUUGCUUAAAGUGCGAUAUACCUGUAGUAAUCGUUAGUUGCAAAUUGAACUUGUUAGUUAACUAAUUGAGCUAGAGAUGUGAAAUUGAACCUUUAAUUGUAAAAUGUCAUUCCCUUUUACGUGCCCGUAUCAGAAAUAUUAAAUAUGUAUUAUUUAAAGAAUAUUCUUAUUUGACUUGUCUAUGUAGUAGGCACUCACGUACAUGCUGUGUGUAUGUGUGAGUGUAUGCAUGUGCAGUGAAAAGUGAUUUUAUACCGUUCUUACUUUAUAAGUUAAUAACUUUUAAACUAAUACGUAAAAAGUUUUGAAAUUUUGCAAGUGUGUUCCUUAAUGUUUGUUUUAAAUCGUAUUUAAGUUUAGUGAUUAAGAGAUGUAUUGUUUAAUUGUAAUAAAAUAUUAACUUAGCAAAAUGA